This is a non-coding RNA of Pelobates cultripes (western spadefoot toad), 227 nucleotides long. The record is from the annotation of a GenBank genome assembly. Lineage: Eukaryota; Metazoa; Chordata; Amphibia; Anura; Pelobatidae.
AUACCAAUAGUAACACCAACGACCAAUACCUUUUAACAUCAAGCUUGGAUAAGAUCUAGAAGUGAAUAUACAUUGUCUAUUGGUCCAUAUGAUUUUAAACCAGACUUUUGUUGUUACCGGAUGAUGUGUAUAUUGUAAUAAAUAUACGGUUUUAACUGCAAGACACUCUGAUUCGAUUUGUUCAGAAAACUGGAAAACAAAUAUCUCACGGAAUGCAAAUUUCCUAC